UGUUAACCUCCUACAGAGGCAUGUUC
RNAcentral lists this non-coding RNA (26 nucleotides) under Homo sapiens (human). The record is from RNAcentral. Lineage: Eukaryota; Metazoa; Chordata; Mammalia; Primates; Hominidae.